CAACACAACACAAUAUCUUAUAUGUAUAGACUUGAAGGCUAACUAAGGAUCCAAGGAUAUUUUCUUGAGUAGUCCCUGAUCAAAGCCAAAAAAUAAUGGAAAAUGGUCUAGAAAGAACUGUUCUCACCCAUGGCCACAAGCUUCUGGCCGUCCUCCUUACAGAAAGCAUCUAGUCUUUGGCCUUCCUCUUUUCUUUGGGAUCAGCUGCUGUUCCCCACGGAUUGGUCAAGCAUAAAGAAGGAACUUGGACUUUCAUUCCUCUGUAUGAGCUGGAUGGAGGGGGGACUUUAGGACUUGCUGGAAGGUCAAAGACAAACCCUUUCAGCAGGUCAGAUGAGCUUCCUGGACUCUUGGUCAGAAAUGUAGCUUGAUCCUUGGAUUUCCUGAUAGUAGCCUCCUGAAAUUGCUAUGGACUCAACAUUUUCCACAGUGCGCCACAAUACAGGAAACAAACUGAGCAUCUUUGCUGUUUUUAAUUAUUAUAUGUGCCAUUAUUAUGGGAAAUUGUAGGGUAGACUUUAAUAAAUUAUCUUAUAACAACU
This 542-nucleotide long non-coding RNA is filed under the name Rattus norvegicus (Norway rat). RNAcentral describes it as "long non-coding RNA NONRATT022210". The record is from RNAcentral. Lineage: Eukaryota; Metazoa; Chordata; Mammalia; Rodentia; Muridae.